UUCGGGGUACACGAGCGGCGAACGGGUGAGUAACACGUGAGCAACCUGCCCCUGACUCCGGGAUAAGCGGUGGAAACGCCGUCUAAUACCGGAUACGACCCGUGGUCUCCUGAUCGCGGGUGGAAAGUUGUAUCGGUCAGGGAUGGGCUCGCGGCCUAUCAGCUUGUUGGUGGGGUAACGGCCUACCAAGGCGAUUACGGGUAGCCGGCCUGAGAGGGCGACCGGCCACACUGGGACUGAGACACGGCCCAGACUCCUGCGGGAGGCAGCAGUGGGGAAUAUUGCGCAAUGGGCGAAAGCCUGACGCAGCGACGCCGCGUGGGGGAUGACGGCCUUCGGGUUGUAAACCUCUUUUACCACCAACGCAGGCCUCCGGUUCUCUGGGGGUUGACGGUAGGUGGGGAAUAAGGACCGGCUAACUACGUGCCAGCAGCCGCGGUAAUACGUAGGGUCCGAGCGUUGUCCGGAAUUAUUGGGCGUAAAGAGCUCGUAGGCGGCGUGUCGCGUCUGCUGUGAAAGACCGGGGCUUAACUCCGGUUCUGCAGUGGAUACGGGCAUGCUAGAGGUAGGUAGGGGAGACUGGAAUUCCUGGUGUAGCGGUGAAAUGCGCAGAUAUCAGGAGGAACACCGGUGGCGAAGGCGGGUCUCUGGGCCUUACCUGACGCUGAGGAGCGAAAGCAUGGGGAGCGAACAGGAUUAGAUACCCUGGUAGUCCAUGCCGUAAACGUUGGGCGCUAGGU
RNAcentral lists this ribosomal RNA (740 nucleotides) under Nocardiopsis sp. 41427. Its description in RNAcentral is "bacterial SSU rRNA". It matches the Rfam family "Bacterial small subunit ribosomal RNA", at positions 81 to 821 of the family's 1533-position model. Lineage: Bacteria; Bacillati; Actinomycetota; Actinomycetes; Streptosporangiales; Nocardiopsidaceae. The record is from RNAcentral.